AACGCGAAGAACCUUACCUACCCUUGACAUACAGAGAACUUUCUAGAGAUAGAUUGGUGCCUUCGGGAACUCUGAGACAGGUGCUGCAUGGCUGUCGUCAGCUCGUGUUGUGAAAUGUUGGGUUAAGUCCCGUAACGAGCGCAACCCUUAUCCUUAGUUGCUACCAUUUAGUUGGGCACUCUAAGGAGACUGCCGGUGAUAAACCGGAGGAAGGUGGGGACGACGUCAAGUCAUCAUGGCCCUUAUGGGUAGGGCUACACACGUGCUACAAUGGCCGGUACAGAGGGCCGCAAACUCGCGAGAGUAAGCUAAUCCCUUAAAGCCGGUCCUAGUCCGGAUUGCAGUCUGCAACUCGACUGCAUGAAGCUGGAAUCGCUAGUAAUCGCGGAUCAGAAUGCCGCGGUGAAUUCGUUCCCGGGUCUUGUACACACCG
This 433-nucleotide ribosomal RNA is filed under the name uncultured bacterium. RNAcentral's name for it is "bacterial SSU rRNA". It matches the Rfam family "Bacterial small subunit ribosomal RNA", at positions 958 to 1392 of the family's 1533-position model. The record is from RNAcentral.